UAUCAAUAAGCGGAGGAAAAGAAACCAACAGGGAUUGCCCUAGUAACGGCGAGUGAAGCGGCAACAGCUCAAAUUUGAAAUCUGGCGCAAGCCCGAGUUGUAAUUUGUAGAGGAUGCUUCUGGGCAGCGGCCGUUCUAAGUCUCUUGGAACAGGGCGUCAUAGAGGGUGAGAAUCCCGUAUGUGACCGGCGCGCACCCUCCACGUAGCUCCUUCGACGAGUCGAGUUGUUUGGGAAUGCAGCUCUAAAUGGGAGGUAAAUUUCUUCUAAAGCUAAAUACCGGCCAGAGACCGAUAGCGCACAAGUAGAGUGAUCGAAAGAUGAAAAGCACUUUGGAAAGAGAGUUAAAAAGCACGUGAAAUUGUUGAAAGGGAAGCGCUUGCAACCAGACUUCGCGGCGGUGUUCCGCCGGUCUUCUGACCGGUCCACUCGCCGCCGCGAGGCCAACAUCGUCUGGGGCCGCCGGAUAAGACCAUGGGAAUGUGGCUCCCUCGGGAGUGUUAUAGCCCACGGUGAUGCGGCGCGCCUCGGGCGAGGUCCGCGCUUCGGCAAGGAUGUUGGCGUAAUGGUUGCCAGCGGCCCGUCUUGAAACACGGACCAAGGAGUCUAACAUCUAUGCGAGUGUUCGGGUGUCAAACCCCUACGCGUAAUGAAAGUGAACGGAGGUGGGAGCUUCGGCGCACCAUCGACCGAUCCUGAUGUCCUCGGAUGGAUUUGAGUAAGAGCAUAGCUGUUGGGACCCGAAAGAUGGUGAACUAUGCCUGAAUAGGGUGAAGCCAGAGGAAACUCUGGUGGAGGCUCGCAGCGGUUCUGACGUGCAAAUCGAUCGUCAAAUUUGGGUAUAGGGGCGAAAGACUAAUCGAACCAUCUAGUAGCUGGUUCCUGC
This 885-nucleotide ribosomal RNA is filed under the name Madagascaromyces intermedius. Its description in RNAcentral is "eukaryotic LSU rRNA". It matches the Rfam family "Eukaryotic large subunit ribosomal RNA", at positions 41 to 961 of the family's 3401-position model. Lineage: Eukaryota; Fungi; Ascomycota; Dothideomycetes; Mycosphaerellales; Mycosphaerellaceae. The record is from RNAcentral.